This 301-nucleotide ribosomal RNA is filed under the name uncultured bacterium. RNAcentral's name for it is "partial 16S ribosomal RNA". It matches the Rfam family "Bacterial small subunit ribosomal RNA", at positions 509 to 807 of the family's 1533-position model. The record is from RNAcentral.
CAGUCGCCGCGGUAACACAGAGGGUGCGAGCGUUAAUCGGAUUUACUGGGCGUAAAGCGUGUGUAGGUUGUUGUUCAAGUCAGUUGUGAAAUCCCUGGGCUCAACCUGGGAACUGCUUCUGAGACUGAACGACUAGAGUACGGUAGAGGGUGGUGGAAUUUCCGGUGUAGCGGUGAAAUGCGUAGAUAUAGGAAGGAACACCAGUGGCGAAGGCGACUACCUGGACUGAUACUGACACUGAGGUGCGAAAGCGUGGGGAGCAAACAGGAUUAGAUACCCGCGUAGUCCCUGUCUCUUAUAC